AGGCAGGGAUCGAGGAUUCGCAUC
Molecule: non-coding RNA, 24 nt
Filed under: Arabidopsis thaliana (thale cress)
Lineage: Eukaryota; Viridiplantae; Streptophyta; Magnoliopsida; Brassicales; Brassicaceae
Source: RNAcentral